RNAcentral lists this non-coding RNA (29 nucleotides) under Rattus norvegicus (Norway rat). Lineage: Eukaryota; Metazoa; Chordata; Mammalia; Rodentia; Muridae. The record is from RNAcentral.
GUCUAGAUAUUCUCAAAUUGCCACCAAAG